RNAcentral lists this ribosomal RNA (560 nucleotides) under Linocarpon carinisporum. RNAcentral describes it as "eukaryotic LSU rRNA". It matches the Rfam family "Eukaryotic large subunit ribosomal RNA", at positions 74 to 665 of the family's 3401-position model. Lineage: Eukaryota; Fungi; Ascomycota; Sordariomycetes; Chaetosphaeriales; Linocarpaceae. The record is from RNAcentral.
AUUGCCUUAGUAACGGCGAGUGAAGCGGCAACAGCUCAAAUUUGAAAUCUGGCUUCGGCCCGAGUUGUAGUUUGAAGAGGAUGUCCCUGGGGCAGCCUCUUGUCUGAGUUCCCUGGAACGGACGUCGUAGAGGGUGAGAGCCCCGUACUGGUUGGACACCAAGUCUUUGAAGCCUUUGACGAGUCGAGGAGGUUGGUAAUGCUGCUCAAAAUGGGAGGUAAUUCCAUCCUAAAGCUAAUACCGGCGAGAGACCCAUAGCGCACCAGUCAAGGGUCGAAGAUGAAAAGCACUUUGAAAGAAGGUUAAAAAUUACGUGAAAUUGUUGAAAGGGAAGCGAUUGUGACCAGACUUGAUUUUGGUGAUCACAUGCCUUCUUGUGGGUGUGUCCCCUCGCUUAUCGGGCCAGCAUCCCCUUGGAGAGGGGGAUACGACUUCGGGAAUGUGCCUUUCCUCGGUGAAGUGUUAUAUCCUGUUCAGAAGCUGGCUGCGGGAACCGAGGUUCGCGCAUCUGCAAGGAUGCUGGCGUAAUGGCCCCCAACAGCACCGUCUUGAAACACGGA